RNAcentral lists this small nuclear RNA (276 nucleotides) under Jaculus jaculus (lesser Egyptian jerboa). RNAcentral describes it as "7SK RNA (ENSJJAG00000004627.1)". It matches the Rfam family "7SK RNA", at positions 1 to 292 of the family's 331-position model. From Rfam's summary of the family: 7SK was discovered as an abundant small nuclear RNA in the mid-70s but a possible function has only recently been suggested. Two independent studies have found that 7SK RNA binds the CDK9/cyclin T complex (known as elongation factor P-TEFb). P-TEFb activates transcription by phosphorylating the C-terminal domain of RNA polymerase II. Lineage: Eukaryota; Metazoa; Chordata; Mammalia; Rodentia; Dipodidae. The record is from RNAcentral.
GGAUGUGAGGGCGAUCUGGCUGCGACAUCUGUCACCCCGUUGGUUUCCAGGGUCGAUUCAGCUGAUAGGCCUGGCUAGGUGGGUGUCCCCUUCCUCCCCCAUCCUUCUGUGCAUCUUUCCCAAAGCUGUGCACUUGAUCGAAGGGGAUGACCUUCCCCAAAUAGAGAGGACCACUCUUUGGUCAAGGGUCUGCAAGUAGCUGCGCUCCCCUGUGAGAACCUCCAAACAAGCUCGCAAAGCCAAUCUGUGCUACAUAGCCAGUUCAGCCCACCCACA